AGCAGCCGCGGUAAUUCCAGCUCCAAUAGCGUAUAUUAAAGUUGUUGCAGUUAAAAAGCUCGUAGUUGAAUUUCGGGGUUAGCAGGUCGGUCGUGCCAUCGGUAUGAACUGGUCUCGCUGAUCCCUCCCUCUUGACGAACUGUGAUGCCAUUAAUUUGGUGUCGCAGGGAAUCAGGACUGUUACUUUGAAAAAAUUAGAGUGUUUAAAGCAGGCUCACGCUUGAAUACAUUAGCAUGGAAUAAUGAAAUAGGACGUUUGAUCCUAUUUUGUUGGCUUCUAGGAUUGACGUAAUGAUUAAUAGGGAUAGUUGGGGGCAUUAGUAUUCAAUUGUCAGAGGUGAAAUUCUUGGAUUUAUUGAAGACUAACUACUGCGAAAGCAUUUGCCAAGGAUGUUUUCAUUAAUCAAGAACGAAAGUUAGGGGAUCGAAGACGAUCAGAUACCGUCGUAGUCUUAACCAUAAACUAUGCCGACUAGGGAUCGGAUGAUGUUAAUUUUUAAUGACUCAUUC
Molecule: ribosomal RNA, 510 nt
Filed under: uncultured Glomus
Lineage: Eukaryota; Fungi; Glomeromycota; Glomeromycetes; Glomerales; Glomeraceae
Description: SSU rRNA
Rfam family: Eukaryotic small subunit ribosomal RNA
Source: RNAcentral